RNAcentral lists this ribosomal RNA (478 nucleotides) under uncultured bacterium. RNAcentral describes it as "partial 16S ribosomal RNA". It matches the Rfam family "Bacterial small subunit ribosomal RNA", at positions 28 to 507 of the family's 1533-position model. The record is from RNAcentral.
GAUGAACGCUGGCGGCGUGCUUAACACAUGCAAGUCGAACGGGAAUUAUUUUAUUGAAACUUCGGUCGAUUUAAUUUAAUUCUAGUGGCGGACGGGUGAGUAACGCGUGGGUAACCUGCCUUAUACAGGGGGAUAACAGUCAGAAAUGGCUGCUAAUACCGCAUAAGCGCACAGAGCUGCAUGGCUCAGUGUGAAAAACUCCGGUGGUAUAAGAUGGACCCGCGUUGGAUUAGCUUGUUGGCAGGGUAACGGCCUACCAAGGCGACGAUCCAUAGCCGGCCUGAGAGGGUGAGCGGCCACAUUGGGACUGAGACACGGCCCAGACUCCUACGGGAGGCAGCAGUGGGGAAUAUUGCACAAUGGGGGAAACCCUGAUGCAGCGACGCCGCGUGAAGGAAGAAGUAUCUCGGGAUGUAAACUUCUAUCAGCAGGGAAGAUAGUGACGGUACCUGACCAAGAAGCCCCGGCUAACUACGUG